RNAcentral lists this ribosomal RNA (448 nucleotides) under Cardinium endosymbiont of Leiobunum sp. Its description in RNAcentral is "bacterial SSU rRNA". It matches the Rfam family "Bacterial small subunit ribosomal RNA", at positions 214 to 659 of the family's 1533-position model. The record is from RNAcentral. Lineage: Bacteria; Pseudomonadati; Bacteroidota; Cytophagia; Cytophagales; Amoebophilaceae.
UGCGGUGUAAAAUGAGCGUGCGUCCUAUUAGCUAGUUGGAGAGGUAAUGGCUCACCAAGGCGAUGAUGGGUAGGGGUUCUUAGUGGAAGGUCCCCCACACUGGCACUGAGAUACGGGCCAGACUCCUACGGGAGGCAGCAGUAGGGAAUAUUGGUCAAUGGGCGCAAGCCUGAACCAGCCAUGCCGCGUGCAGGAUGAAGGCUCUCUGAGUUGUAAACUGCUUUUGUACAGGAACAAAAAAAUCCCUGCGGGGAUUCUUGAGCUUACUGUAAGAAUAAGCACCGGCUAAUUCCGUGCCAGCAGCCGCGGUAAUACGGAAGGUGCAAGUGUUAUCCGGUUUUAUUGGGUUUAAAGGGUGCGUAGGCGGCUUAUUAAGUCAGUUGUGAAAUCCUAGUGCUUAACGCUAGAACUGCAAUUGAUACUGGUAGGCUUGAGUUAAGAAGAGGUA